GUGCCAGCAGCCGCGGUAAGACGUAGGGUGCGAGCGUUGUCCGGAUUUAUUGGGCGUAAAGAGCUCGUAGGCGGCUCGUCGCGUCGGUUGUGAAAACUCUAGGCUUAACCUGGAGCUUGCAACCGAUACGGGCGGGCUAGAGUUCGGUAGGGGAGACUGGAAUUCCUGGUGUAGCGGUGAAAUGCGCAGAUAUCAGGAGGAACACCGGUGGCGAAGGCGGGUCUCUGGGCCGAUACUGACGCUGAGGAGCGAAAGCGUGGGGAGCGAACAGGAUUAGAAACCCCCGUAGUCC
This 292-nucleotide ribosomal RNA is filed under the name uncultured bacterium. RNAcentral describes it as "partial 16S ribosomal RNA". It matches the Rfam family "Bacterial small subunit ribosomal RNA", at positions 505 to 796 of the family's 1533-position model. The record is from RNAcentral.